CAGCAGCCACGGGAAUACAGAGGGUGCGAGCGUUAAUCGGAUUUACUGGGCGUAAAGCGUGCGUAGGCGGCUUUUUAAGUCGGAUGUGAAAUCCCUGAGCUUAACUUAGGAAUUGCAUUCGAUACUGGGAAGCUAGAGUAUGGGAGAGGAUGGUAGAAUUCCAGGUGUAGCGGUGAAAUGCGUAGAGAUCUGGAGGAAUACCGAUGGCGAAGGCAGCCAUCUGGCCUAAUACUGACGCUGAGGUACGAAAGCAUGGGGAGCAAACAGUAUUAGAUACCCCUGUAGUCCCUGUCUCUUAUAC
Molecule: ribosomal RNA, 301 nt
Filed under: uncultured bacterium
Lineage: Bacteria
Description: partial 16S ribosomal RNA
Rfam family: Bacterial small subunit ribosomal RNA
Source: RNAcentral